GAGAUAAGUUAUGACUGUUUUAAUGAAGAUUGCGCGAGUAAAAUUUCGAGACGAGAUUAUUACAAAAAUUAUGAGUUUUAAGCUUCUAAUUCGAGUUCAAGAAACUCAUAAUUUUCGUAAUAAUCCCGUCCAGAAAUUUUACUCGCGCAAUCUUCACUAAAAUGGUCAUAACUUAAAAA
This 179-nucleotide microRNA precursor is filed under the name Gossypium raimondii (Peruvian cotton). Its description in RNAcentral is "miR8713 stem-loop (gra-MIR8713)". The record is from miRBase by way of RNAcentral. Lineage: Eukaryota; Viridiplantae; Streptophyta; Magnoliopsida; Malvales; Malvaceae.